UUUCGUGAAGAAGUCCUCGUGUGGAGAAUGGCUUCAAAGUGUUUGAUCUACAAAAUAUGCAUGUUUUUGGACAAAGUGAACUUCGAACUUAAGAAAUAAUGNAGAGGAAGUCUCUGAGUAUUGUAUUUUGGAAAGAAAUAUAUGGAAUUUAUACUCUACUGUUAAAUUUUAUGGGAAAGAAGACAGUUAGUCCGAAACAAAAUGGCGGAAAUUUUCAUUGCUCGGAAACAUAAAUGUGGUGAUAUUUUGAGAUCUACGCAAGAAAUCGUCACCAAAGGAGGAAGAUUUGUAAAGAGAAGUCGGAGGUUUUUGGAAUUGUAUACAUCAAGCUUGUCGGAUCAGUGGAACUUCAUAUCUUUUGCUUUGAACACCGAGUGUGAUGAACAUAUGGAACCUGGAACGACCUGUGUUGAACUUGUGAUGCGCCAAACAAGCCGGCCAUUGUGGCCAGUUUGAAGACAAAAGGCCCAAAGAAAGAAGUUUGAAAGUUAAUUGCAAUUUGCCACAGUAGUUUUCGAGUGAAUUUUUUAUGACUUUUAAGCCCCGUUUACACUUGUGAUUUUUGCAGAGCGAAUUUCGCGACGAUCGUCGCGCGAACAACGCCUGAGUUUCCAUCGCCGCAACAAUCGCAGGGCUAUUUACACGUACGAUUUUAAUUACGCAAUAGCAAAGUGGCGGUUAUCGCGCCGCAAAAACUGCAAGUGUAAACGGGACUUUAGAGAUACAUUUUGUAGUGUACGUCUGAUGCCAACUGAAANCACAGCUGUUCCAUUUUCCACAGGAUAUCAAGUGGGAAUAUGCUUGACGCAUAUAACUGAUUGAGAUACGUACAAAUAAAAAAAAUAAAGUGAGA
RNAcentral lists this long non-coding RNA (853 nucleotides) under Exaiptasia diaphana. Its description in RNAcentral is "uncharacterized LOC110232758, transcript variant X2". The record is from RNAcentral. Lineage: Eukaryota; Metazoa; Cnidaria; Anthozoa; Actiniaria; Aiptasiidae.